Molecule: unclassified non-coding RNA, 238 nt
Filed under: uncultured fungus
Lineage: Eukaryota; Fungi
Description: sequence contains 5.8S rRNA gene
Rfam family: 5.8S ribosomal RNA (bases 1-53)
Source: RNAcentral
GAACGCACAUUGCGCCCCUUGGUAUUCCGAGGGGCAUGCCUGUUCGAGCGUCAGUUGACCGAUCAAGCCUGGCUUGGUAUUGGGGCCCGCCCUCCAGCGGCCUCUAAACACAGUGGUGGUGCCGUUAGGCUCUCAGCGUAGUAAUUCUUCUCGCUACAGAGUCCUGCGGUUACUUGCCAUAACCCUAAUUUUUUUAUGGUUGACCUCGGAUCAGGUAGGGAUACCCGCUGAACUUAAG